Myodes glareolus (Bank vole) is the source of this 3183-nucleotide non-coding RNA. The record is from RefSeq and is a predicted model, not a curated record. NCBI's taxonomy places the organism in Eukaryota, Metazoa, Chordata, Mammalia, Rodentia, Cricetidae.
CGCAGGUGCGCCCGGCCCGCCCUCCGCGCAGGUGAGGUGGACGGCCAGGUGCCCGGCGUCCGCCCAGAGGCCUCGGUUCAGUUCCGCCACCACCCAGGUGACCUGAGACGGCUCCGCCCCUGCGUGGCGCCCUUCCCAGGUGGUGGGAGAAACCACAAAGGAGGGGAAAAAAUGCUGUGGACUCCACGUGACAUUUUUUCAGAUUGCCUGCUUGACCAGCCUGUUCCUAGGAGAUCUAGCUGAUAGCCACAGUCAAGGACAUUUGACUUGCUUGGUCUAAGAAAGGUGAACUAGACGGAUUUAUCAAGUAUGUAAAAACUGAUUAGCUCUAAGUGUUGCCUGGUACUCUGUUUUUGUUUGUUUUGUUGUUUUUGAAUCUAGGUUGAUUAGAGUCCACCAGAGCCUAGUUCAUGUAUUAAAUCCUCCUUAGCUACCGAAGCCCACGCACAUCUCCAGCUCCUAAAGUGCCAAUAACUUCAGUCUGCCUCUGUUAAACUUCCACACCUGUAUUACGUAUUGCGCUCAGGAACCGCUCAAAACCCACCGAAAUUUGGAAAGUUUAAAUACUUGUUUAAAAUAGUUUUAAAAGUUGUCUUCCAAGUUUUCAGCCCUCUGCUAAACAGUGUAGAAGACAAAAGGAAGUGAGAAGAAACUGGAGCCUUUGUCAUCCCCCCAGAGGGUGCUGUCCAGGCUGCUGUUCCGUAUGUCAACCUGACACAAACUAGAGUUAUCUGAGGAGGGUGAUCACUGGCCGGUAGGCAAGUCUGUGGGGUAUUGUUGGUUAAUGAAUGCAGUGUUUGCUGCCACCUUUGGGCAGAUAGCCCUGGAAUACAUAAGAGAACAAGGAACUGGGAGGUGGCGGACACCUUUAAUCCCAGCACUUGGGAGGCACAGGCAGGUGAGUCUCAGUAAAUUCAAGGACAGCCUGACCUACAAAGCGAGUUACAGGAUAGUGAGGACUGUUACACAGAAAUGCUGUCUGGGGGGACCCGUGGGAAGCAAUCCAGUAAGCAAUGUUCCUCCAUGUCUUCUGCUUUAGUUCCCACCUCCAGGCUCCUGUCCUAGCUUCCUUUGGUGAUGGCCCGUGAUGUGGAAGAGCUAAGCCCUAUCCUCCCCAGGCUGCUUUUCGCCGUGGUAUUUUUAUCACAGGAGUAGACAGGCACAUAUUCCUUAGGGUUAAGAAUCAAAGCAGCCAUAUAUCAAGCUGUACACACUGGUCAAAAGUGAGACCCCAGCCCUCUAACACCCCUAUAUCCAAAGAGUCUGGAAUGUAAUAUUGAGUUGGAAGUGUCACCCCAGACCCUGGCCUGGGAAUUGCCAAGUACUUGGACUCCAAUUCCCAACCUGCCAAGUGCUUGGACUCCAACUCCCAGCCUGCCAAGUGCUGACCCCUUCCUGGGGGGGGGUCAGGACCACUCCCACAGGGUAUUUAGGUUUGCAAUGAAAAAAGGAACACAUGGUUUUGGGUUUUAUGUGUACUCUCUCUCUGUCUCUCCCCCCCCCACCCCCCCGGGCUCCCAGCCACCCAAGAGUGUCACAUUUAUUAAAGGGGCAUUUGUAAUUCAGUUCAGUCUGGUUUGAUUGGAGUUCUUUGAGCCUGGCGAAGAGGCCCAUCUUAAGAUUUUUCUUAACACAUUCAAGACUGGCACUAAAAUUAAAAAGCAAAAUUAUUUUAACAGUGGAAAGUUGAUUUUCUUCCAUUGAAUGGAUGUAGGUAGAAAGUGCUAGCUGUUAGAAUAUUGCGGAAGACCCCGCUGUCUUCAAUUCUACCUCUAGCCCUUUUAAGUCCCCAGAGUAUGGUCCAUUCCCCCUUACACUCUUUCUUUCUUCUGACACAAGAAUAAGCAGAUCUCUUUACCCUUCUGGUGACUUUCUCCCACCCUUCUGUCGGAUCAGGCUGCAGGAAGGAAUUGGUUCUCACAACUUUAUCUGAUGGAUCUUCAGCCGACGGCUGCAUGGCUGCCAAACCCCUGGAAGCUCACCUGAGGAACUCAGGGCCUUUUCUCCUUGACCCUUCUUCCCUGAUUUCCCAAAGGCGAUAGUUUACUCAUUCUGCUGAUUAAGGUAAAAAUAAAACAGUGCUGUUUCCCAAGUGGCCUGCUGUCCACGAUGGGCAGUGGAUCCCAGGCAGGGAAUACCUCAGUAUAGAUGGCGGGACGUGGCCACCUGAUCUGGCCAUCAGUUAAGAUGGCAGCAAAGUCACCUGGCCCUCAAUUAAGAUGGCGGUAAGGUCACCUGACCUCAGUCAAAAUGGCAGCGGUCACAUGUUGUAUGGAAAAGCCAUGUUUUUUGAGCCGAGGGAGUUUUAAAGAUAAUUACAAGAGAGACCUAGAGGCAUGAUCUGCCCUGUCACUGAGCCACUGCGCCACAAGCCAUGGUGGGGAACAAAGUCUGGAAUUGAAAACAGCUGCCUCCUGGAUCUGACCAAUCUUGUUGGCAGCAGUAGCGGUGGCAGGGACAGUUUAAGGAAAAAUGGAGUCGGUGGGAUACCUGCGGAGCAUUUACAGGUGGUUUAUACCAUAGCUGAAGAUGUGAAAACUUGCAAAAACACCAUAGGGCCUAUAGGAGGACGCAAAGCCUACAGGAAGACGUCUCUUCUCUACAUGCAGGGUGUUAAAGCUUGACUGGCUCCGGUCUGGGUGAUUCAGAAGCCAGCGUGUGCAGUGCUAGCAUGGGAGGAAUAACCCUGGGUAGUGUGAUCGUGUUUUUAGCUAUGGAAAGCAACCAGAGAUGUAUGUCAGCGAAGGGCUCAACCAUAGCCUUGAAGGCUGUGGUUGGCUGACUAGAAGGGGAAAACUCACCACUGAAGCCACUAGUGUGUGUAGAGGUUGAUGUUAGGCAGAUAGAAAACCGAGCUGUUAUAAAGAAAUCUUUACAACCUGGUUCUGGGGCCCAGGGUUCCAAGUUUCCUCAGCCAACCCACCUGUGGGCAGGAGGAAAUACGGAGAGAGCCUGGCCGAGUCACAAGCACCAAUGUGUACACACUUCUCAGAGGGACAAGUGGCAUUCAGCCACCCAAGAUUGAACAAUAACAGGUAUAAGAGACACUAGACAUUAACACCAGACAGCAACAAAGAGACCAGCUACUCCAGGAUGUGAGCAAGACCCAACUUUCUCAGGUUCCCCCCAAGAUAAUGCCCACAAAUAAGCAGGAAGCAGUCUUGAGAAUCUGCCACCCCAAUU